UACGAAGGGGGCUAGCGUUGCUCGGAUUGACUGGGCGUAAAGGGCGCGUAGGCGGUUCGUACAGUCAGACGUGAAAUUCCUGGGCUCAACCUGGGGGCUGCGUUUGAUACGUGCGGACUUGAGUGCGGAAGAGGGUCGUGGAAUUCCCAGUGUAGAGGUGAAAUUCGUAGAUAUUGGGAAGAACACCGGUGGCGAAGGCGGCGACCUGGUCCGAUACUGACGCUGAGGCGCGAAAGCCAGGGGAGCGAACGGG
Molecule: ribosomal RNA, 253 nt
Filed under: uncultured bacterium
Lineage: Bacteria
Description: partial 16S ribosomal RNA
Rfam family: Bacterial small subunit ribosomal RNA
Source: RNAcentral